Molecule: long non-coding RNA, 637 nt
Filed under: Zea mays
Lineage: Eukaryota; Viridiplantae; Streptophyta; Magnoliopsida; Poales; Poaceae
Description: long non-coding RNA (ZMAY_LNC003608)
Source: RNAcentral
AAAAGGAAAAAAAAACAAACUAUUGCAUUACGAGUCAUCAAGUGCUCAGGGAAGGGAGAGGGAACAACCUGCAGGUGGCGACGAGGAGCGCAGAGAUCCAGCGAGGGCGCCGCCGUGUGGCCCGGUGCGGGGUGUCGAGUGCGGCUCCGCGCAGCCUGGCGUGGGGCGCCGCCUUGCGGCAUGGAGCGCGGUGGCGAGAUCAGCUCCGUGCGGCAUGCAACGAGCAGCCGGGUCGUCGAGCGUGGCUCCUCGCGGCCUGGAGCGGGGCGUCUAGCAUGGCUCCGCAAGGCCUGGCGAGGGCCACCGUCGACUGUCGUAUGACCUAGAGCGAGGCGUCAAGCAUGGCUCUACGUGGCUUGGUGAGGGGCGGCUCAAAUCCUGCUAUCCUGGGUCCAGCGGUGGCCACCCUCGGUGAGAAGAUUCGGCAGUGUGACGGUGGGGAACCUAGCAGCGGGACAUGAAGAGGCGCGGGACAGGGAGGGAGGGGAGGGGAGAGGAGAGGAUGAUGUAGUAUGAUUUUUUGCGGGAAAAAAAAACAAAGCCAGAGGGAAUCGAACCGUGGCCGAUGGCGCUUGCGUGGGGAGCUUGAGGCGGAGGGAGGGGAGGGACGAGGGGGUUAGGUGGGUGAGAAGCCUAU